ACAGUCUCUGACUUUUAACUUUUGAGACUAAAAAGAAGGCAUGAUCAAACAAUCGUGGAAAAAUUUUCAUUCCUCUUUCAUUCUCCUGACUUAAUUGCCCUGUCAUUCUCUCUCUUGUUCAUCCAAGACUUUGGCCCUUAGCUUACAAUAUCUGCCUCUCCUGUACUUUUCUGCCAUCAUCUACCACUGUAAUGUCCACAUGUACAACCUGUCAAAAAUCCUUGAAGCUCUGAUUCCGCCAGCUUUUAGAGCCACUUCAUUGAGCAACCCAUAUCCAAAGCCAUACCUUCUGAUCUCUACAUAGCAUUUACUCUUCCAUAUUCCAUAGGUUUUCAACUGAACUUCUUAUUUCCCUCUCCCCCUCACAGUGUUCCAACCCACCCUUAAACAUAUACACCUCUUCUCCCCACCUCUUUCCUUUCUCCACUGUUCUAUCCCAGUUAAUAAUACCACCAUUGAACUCUACAAUCAGAUAAGGGAUGGGGGUUCAUUCUAGACCAUCUAGGUAUCAUCUCUAUCUCAGACAUCAAUGGCCUAAUCCAAAAGGUCAUUAUUGUCACUAUCAGUGUAAAAGUCAUACAAAAAUACUUACAUUUUUUAAAAAAAUAGUAAUAGAAGUGUGUAGCUCAGUGGUAGAGCAUGUGCUUAGCAUGCUGCAGGGCCUGGCUUCAAUCCCCUACACCAACCAUAAUAAUAAUAAUUAGUGGUAGUAGUAGUAAGAGUACUUUACAACAUUCAGCCCAAGUAAUUUAAAUUACAGAACAGUAUUACCUUAUUAGCAAACCAUGAAAUUUACACAGAAACAUAUAUGAAUUGUGCUACUCUCAGAAUUCAGAAGCCCAAAAAUGUUUAAAGUAAAUGCAUCCUCAUGGCUACCCUUAGAGUAAGAACAGUGUACCCUCAGAUAGUCAGAGAGGUGUUGCCUGACCAACGUCCUGAAAGAUGGAGCCUUCUAUCC
Molecule: long non-coding RNA, 958 nt
Filed under: Marmota monax (woodchuck)
Lineage: Eukaryota; Metazoa; Chordata; Mammalia; Rodentia; Sciuridae
Source: RNAcentral